This 739-nucleotide ribosomal RNA is filed under the name uncultured bacterium. RNAcentral's name for it is "bacterial SSU rRNA". It matches the Rfam family "Bacterial small subunit ribosomal RNA", at positions 28 to 754 of the family's 1533-position model. The record is from RNAcentral.
GACGAACGCUGGCGGCGUGCUUAACACAUGCAAGUGGUGCGACGAACCAGGGCUUGCCCUGGGGCCAAGCCGCGAACGGGUGAGUAACACGUGGGUGACCUGCCCCGAUGACCGGGACAACCCGGGGAAACUCGGGCUAAUACCGGAUGUGGCACUCAGGCACAAGCCUGUGUGCUAAAGGAAGCUUCGGCCUCCGCAUUGGGAGGGGCCCGCGGCCCAUUAGCUUGUUGGUGGGGUGACGGCCUACCAAGGCGACGAUGGGUAGCUGGUCUGAGAGGACGAUCAGCCACACUGGGACUGAGACACGGCCCAGACUCCUACGGGAGGCAGCAGUGGGGAAUCUUGCGCAAUGCGCGAAAGCGUGACGCAGCAACGCCGCGUGAGGGAAGAAGGCCUCGGGUUGUAAACCUCUUUCAGGAGGGACGAAGGCUCACCGGUGAAUAGCCGUGUGGGUUGACGGUACCUCCAGAAGAAGCUCCGGCUAACUACGUGCCAGCAGCCGCGGUAAUACGUAGGGAGCAAGCGUUGUCCGAAUCAUUGGGCGUAAAGCGCGCGUAGGCGGCCCCAGUAAGUCCGCUGUAAAAGUCAAAGGCUCAACCUUUGAAAGCCGGUGGAAACUGCGGGGCUAGAGUCCGGAAGAGGCGAGUGGAAUUCCUGGUGUAGCGGUGGAAUGCGCAGAUAUCAGGAGGAACACCAAUAGCGAAGGCAGCUCGCUGGGACGGAACUGACGCUAAGGCGC